This 480-nucleotide ribosomal RNA is filed under the name Pseudomonas aeruginosa. RNAcentral's name for it is "bacterial SSU rRNA". It matches the Rfam family "Bacterial small subunit ribosomal RNA", at positions 61 to 536 of the family's 1533-position model. The record is from RNAcentral. Lineage: Bacteria; Pseudomonadati; Pseudomonadota; Gammaproteobacteria; Pseudomonadales; Pseudomonadaceae.
GUCGAGCGGAUGAAGGGAGCUUGCUCCUGGAUUCAGCGGCGGACGGGUGAGUAAUGCCUAGGAAUCUGCCUGGUAGUGGGGGAUAACGUCCGGAAACGGGCGCUAAUACCGCAUACGUCCUGAGGGAGAAAGUGGGGGAUCUUCGGACCUCACGCUAUCAGAUGAGCCUAGGUCGGAUUAGCUAGUUGGUGGGGUAAAGGCCUACCAAGGCGACGAUCCGUAACUGGUCUGAGAGGAUGAUCAGUCACACUGGAACUGAGACACGGUCCAGACUCCUACGGGAGGCAGCAGUGGGGAAUAUUGGACAAUGGGCGAAAGCCUGAUCCAGCCAUGCCGCGUGUGUGAAGAAGGUCUUCGGAUUGUAAAGCACUUUAAGUUGGGAGGAAGGGCAGUAAGUUAAUACCUUGCUGUUUUGACGUUACCAACAGAAUAAGCACCGGCUAACUUCGUGCCAGCAGCCGCGGUAAUACGAAGGGUGCA